GAUGAACGCUGGCGGCGUGCCUAAUACAUGCAAGUCGAGCGAACAGACGAGGAGCUUGCUCCUCUGACGUUAGCGGCGGACGGGUGAGUAACACGUGGAUAACCUACCUAUAAGACUGGGAUAACUUCGGGAAACCGGAGCUAAUACCGGAUAACAUGUUGAACCGCAUGGUUCAACAGUGAAAGACGGUCUUGCUGUCACUUAUAGAUUGAUCCGCGCCGCAUUAGCUAGUUGGUAAGGUAACGGCUUACCAAGGCAACGAUGCGUAGCCGACCUGAGAGGGUGAUCGGCCACACUGGAACUGAGACACGGUCCAGACUCCUACGGGAGGCAGCAGUAGGGAAUCUUCCGCAAUGGGCGAAAGCCUGACGGAGCAACGCCGCGUGAGUGAAGAAGGUCUUCGGAUCGUAAAACUCUGUUAUUAGGGAAGAACAAAUGUGUAAGUAACUAUGCACGUCUUGACGGUACCUAAUCAGAAAGCCACGGCUAACUACGUG
Molecule: ribosomal RNA, 497 nt
Filed under: uncultured bacterium
Lineage: Bacteria
Description: partial 16S ribosomal RNA
Rfam family: Bacterial small subunit ribosomal RNA
Source: RNAcentral